UACGUAGGGGGCAAGCGUUGUCCGGAAUCAUUGGGCGUAAAGCGCGUGUAGGCGGCUGAGUAAGUCUGCUCUGAAAGCCCGGGGCUCAACCCCGGGAGGCGGGUGGAUACUGCUCAGCUCGAGUCCGGAAGAGGAGUGUGGAAUUCCUGGUGUAGCGGUGAAAUGCGCAGAUAUCAGGAGGAACACCAAUGGCGAAGGCAGCACUCUGGGACGGUACUGACGCUGAGACGCGAAAGCGUGGGGAGCAAAAGGG
Molecule: ribosomal RNA, 253 nt
Filed under: uncultured bacterium
Lineage: Bacteria
Description: partial 16S ribosomal RNA
Rfam family: Bacterial small subunit ribosomal RNA
Source: RNAcentral